Molecule: ribosomal RNA, 2919 nt
Filed under: Staphylococcus aureus
Lineage: Bacteria; Bacillati; Bacillota; Bacilli; Caryophanales; Staphylococcaceae
Also listed under: 2 other names
Description: bacterial LSU rRNA
Rfam family: Bacterial large subunit ribosomal RNA
Source: RNAcentral
UUAAGUUAUUAAGGGCGCACGGUGGAUGCCUUGGCACUAGAAGCCGAUGAAGGACGUUACUAACGACGAUAUGCUUUGGGGAGCUGUAAGUAAGCUUUGAUCCAGAGAUUUCCGAAUGGGGAAACCCAGCAUGAGUUAUGUCAUGUUAUCGAUAUGUGAAUACAUAGCAUAUCAGAAGGCACACCCGGAGAACUGAAACAUCUUAGUACCCGGAGGAAGAGAAAGAAAAUUCGAUUCCCUUAGUAGCGGCGAGCGAAACGGGAAGAGCCCAAACCAACAAGCUUGCUUGUUGGGGUUGUAGGACACUCUAUACGGAGUUACAAAGGACGACAUUAGACGAAUCAUCUGGAAAGAUGAAUCAAAGAAGGUAAUAAUCCUGUAGUCGAAAAUGUUGUCUCUCUUGAGUGGAUCCUGAGUACGACGGAGCACGUGAAAUUCCGUCGGAAUCUGGGAGGACCAUCUCCUAAGGCUAAAUACUCUCUAGUGACCGAUAGUGAACCAGUACCGUGAGGGAAAGGUGAAAAGCACCCCGGAAGGGGAGUGAAAUAGAACCUGAAACCGUGUGCUUACAAGUAGUCAGAGCCCGUUAAUGGGUGAUGGCGUGCCUUUUGUAGAAUGAACCGGCGAGUUACGAUUUGAUGCAAGGUUAAGCAGUAAAUGUGGAGCCGUAGCGAAAGCGAGUCUGAAUAGGGCGUUUAGUAUUUGGUCGUAGACCCGAAACCAGGUGAUCUACCCUUGGUCAGGUUGAAGUUCAGGUAACACUGAAUGGAGGACCGAACCGACUUACGUUGAAAAGUGAGCGGAUGAACUGAGGGUAGCGGAGAAAUUCCAAUCGAACCUGGAGAUAGCUGGUUCUCUCCGAAAUAGCUUUAGGGCUAGCCUCAAGUGAUGAUUAUUGGAGGUAGAGCACUGUUUGGACGAGGGGCCCCUCUCGGGUUACCGAAUUCAGACAAACUCCGAAUGCCAAUUAAUUUAACUUGGGAGUCAGAACAUGGGUGAUAAGGUCCGUGUUCGAAAGGGAAACAGCCCAGACCACCAGCUAAGGUCCCAAAAUAUAUGUUAAGUGGAAAAGGAUGUGGCGUUGCCCAGACAACUAGGAUGUUGGCUUAGAAGCAGCCAUCAUUUAAAGAGUGCGUAAUAGCUCACUAGUCGAGUGACACUGCGCCGAAAAUGUACCGGGGCUAAACAUAUUACCGAAGCUGUGGAUUGUCCUUUGGACAAUGGUAGGAGAGCGUUCUAAGGGCGUUGAAGCAUGAUCGUAAGGACAUGUGGAGCGCUUAGAAGUGAGAAUGCCGGUGUGAGUAGCGAAAGACGGGUGAGAAUCCCGUCCACCGAUUGACUAAGGUUUCCAGAGGAAGGCUCGUCCGCUCUGGGUUAGUCGGGUCCUAAGCUGAGGCCGACAGGCGUAGGCGAUGGAUAACAGGUUGAUAUUCCUGUACCACCUAUAAUCGUUUUAAUCGAUGGGGGGACGCAGUAGGAUAGGCGAAGCGUGCGAUUGGAUUGCACGUCUAAGCAGUAAGGCUGAGUAUUAGGCAAAUCCGGUACUCGUUAAGGCUGAGCUGUGAUGGGGAGAAGACAUUGUGUCUUCGAGUCGUUGAUUUCACACUGCCGAGAAAAGCCUCUAGAUAGAAAAUAGGUGCCCGUACCGCAAACCGACACAGGUAGUCAAGAUGAGAAUUCUAAGGUGAGCGAGCGAACUCUCGUUAAGGAACUCGGCAAAAUGACCCCGUAACUUCGGGAGAAGGGGUGCUCUUUAGGGUUAACGCCCAGAAGAGCCGCAGUGAAUAGGCCCAAGCGACUGUUUAUCAAAAACACAGGUCUCUGCUAAACCGUAAGGUGAUGUAUAGGGGCUGACGCCUGCCCGGUGCUGGAAGGUUAAGAGGAGUGGUUAGCUUCUGCGAAGCUACGAAUCGAAGCCCCAGUAAACGGCGGCCGUAACUAUAACGGUCCUAAGGUAGCGAAAUUCCUUGUCGGGUAAGUUCCGACCCGCACGAAAGGCGUAACGAUUUGGGCACUGUCUCAACGAGAGACUCGGUGAAAUCAUAGUACCUGUGAAGAUGCAGGUUACCCGCGACAGGACGGAAAGACCCCGUGGAGCUUUACUGUAGCCUGAUAUUGAAAUUCGGCACAGCUUGUACAGGAUAGGUAGGAGCCUUUGAAACGUGAGCGCUAGCUUACGUGGAGGCGCUGGUGGGAUACUACCCUAGCUGUGUUGGCUUUCUAACCCGCACCACUUAUCGUGGUGGGAGACAGUGUCAGGCGGGCAGUUUGACUGGGGCGGUCGCCUCCUAAAAGGUAACGGAGGCGCUCAAAGGUUCCCUCAGAAUGGUUGGAAAUCAUUCAUAGAGUGUAAAGGCAUAAGGGAGCUUGACUGCGAGACCUACAAGUCGAGCAGGGUCGAAAGACGGACUUAGUGAUCCGGUGGUUCCGCAUGGAAGGGCCAUCGCUCAACGGAUAAAAGCUACCCCGGGGAUAACAGGCUUAUCUCCCCCAAGAGUUCACAUCGACGGGGAGGUUUGGCACCUCGAUGUCGGCUCAUCGCAUCCUGGGGCUGUAGUCGGUCCCAAGGGUUGGGCUGUUCGCCCAUUAAAGCGGUACGCGAGCUGGGUUCAGAACGUCGUGAGACAGUUCGGUCCCUAUCCGUCGUGGGCGUAGGAAAUUUGAGAGGAGCUGUCCUUAGUACGAGAGGACCGGGAUGGACAUACCUCUGGUGUACCAGUUGUCGUGCCAACGGCAUAGCUGGGUAGCUAUGUGUGGACGGGAUAAGUGCUGAAAGCAUCUAAGCAUGAAGCCCCCCUCAAGAUGAGAUUUCCCAACUUCGGUUAUAAGAUCCCUCAAAGAUGAUGAGGUUAAUAGGUUCGAGGUGGAAGCAUGGUGACAUGUGGAGCUGACGAAUACUAAUCGAUCGAAGACUUAAUC